Molecule: ribosomal RNA, 374 nt
Filed under: uncultured organism
Description: partial 16S ribosomal RNA
Rfam family: Bacterial small subunit ribosomal RNA
Source: RNAcentral
GUAGGUGGCAAGCGUUGUCCGGAAUUAUUGGGCGUAAAGCGCGCGCAGGCGGUUCGUUUAAGUCUGAUGUGAAAGCCCACGGGCUCAACCGUGGAGGGUCAUUGGAAACUGGAGAACUUGAGUACAGAAGAGGAAAGCGGAAUUCCACGUGUAGCGGUGAAGUGCGUAGAGAUGUGGAGGAACACCAGUGGCGAAGGCGGCUUUCUGGUCUGUAACUGACGCUGAGGCGCGAAAGCGUGGGGAGCAAACAGGAUUAGAUACCCUGGUAGUCCACGCCGUAAACGAUGAGUGCUAAGUGUUAGGGGGUUUCCGCCCCUUAGUGCUGCAGCUAACGCAUUAAGCACUCCGCCUGGGGAGUACGGCCGCAAAGGCUG